GCCUCCUUAGCUCAGCUGGCCAGAGCAAGAUCCUUGUAAGAUCGAGGUCGUCGGUUCGAAUCCGACAGGGGGCUCC
RNAcentral lists this transfer RNA (76 nucleotides) under Streptomyces sp. 1-11. RNAcentral describes it as "tRNA-Thr". It matches the Rfam family "tRNA". Rfam says of the family: Transfer RNA (tRNA) molecules are approximately 80 nucleotides in length. Lineage: Bacteria; Bacillati; Actinomycetota; Actinomycetes; Kitasatosporales; Streptomycetaceae. The record is from RNAcentral.